AUUUUUUUUUAGGGUUUUCGCCGUCGAUCUAUGUGCAUUGGAGCAGGACUUGGACCUUCUCCUGUUUACUGUUGAUGAGAGAACUGCAACAAUAUGAUGGAAAAAUUCACGUGAUUCCAAUGUAUUUAAGUCUCUGAUGAUCGGAAAUUUCCCUCUCCUCCUUGAAUCUUUGGUAUUAUCCUCAUCCAAAUCUAUCAGAGGUGUUUUUGUGUGGAAGGUAAGAAGAAUGUGGAGAUGUGAUGAAUAAUUAAUUGGUCCGUGUUUCGGAUUGAUGAUGACCGAUUACUCUUCACCAAACUCUGAUCUCCCUCAUUCUUCCUCGUCUCUCGUUAAUUUAUUUGGGGAUGAACAAGAUUGAUUUUGUUUUUGGACAUCUCGUGGCUCUGUGAUAACUUGCCUGUAAAUGGCAGUAUACGCUAUUCUGAUAACACGGCAUGAUCGGAAAGAAUUUCGAAUAAAUCUGAGAGCCCUUCUUUGAUCCUCUAUUUUCUGAAAUUUGGAUCUUUUUUUUUAAAUGCUUUUAAAAUUUUGACAAGUUUUCUUCCUCCGAUGAAUCGAUGAGAAAAAAAAAUCACGUCAGACUUUGGAGAUUCUCCCCCAAAAAAAUCUCAUUGAUUUUGAGCAUAAAAGUCCUUUUGUUUUGGAAACUGUUAGUUGUUUUUUCGGUCUCAUGUUGAAAUCAUUUCACAACAAAAUUCCGACAUACGUCGACGAUAGUGGAAGAAAUGGACAGUGGGCACUGGUCGAGACAGGGGCUCAAAUGGGUUGGGUCUUGAAUAUUGGGCUUUGCCCAUUUCAGACCAAUGUGUGAACGGGCUUUUAUAUAUGGCAUUGUUGUUGGAUUUGUAAUUGUAUUUAUGAAUUUAGGUUAUGAAGAAUUGUCAACUCUCAUGCAUAGACCUAAACUAGUCGUCAAAUUUGUAAGACCUAUUCCCAUAGGCUGUCAUAUUUUCUA
This is a long non-coding RNA of Tarenaya hassleriana, 955 nucleotides long. RefSeq lists it as uncharacterized. The record is from RefSeq and is a predicted model, not a curated record. The transcript has 2 exons. Lineage: Eukaryota; Viridiplantae; Streptophyta; Magnoliopsida; Brassicales; Cleomaceae.